GACUAGGCUCUUUACUCCAGCAGUUCUGUUUAGUUUGCUCGAACAGAGUAGAGGUGACAAGAUGUGGAAACUUAAUGAAAAAGAUAUCCCAGGCAUGAAACACUGUAGAAGAAUUAUGCUUAAUAAUGAACUAACUAAAAAACAAAUUAAAUGAAAUGCAGCUUUCACUGUUAGGUUCUAGAUUGCUCUCCCCCAAACAUUAGACGAAAUUGCAUUGUUUACAAAAAUUUAUUAAUACAAACUUUACACACUUUAUAUAACAGUUAUCAAAGUCCUAGUUAUAGAUAUCAUGUGUGUAAUAAUACUUUGUUUAAGUUCUUUUUAUAUUCAUUUGCACACAAAAUAAGUUCUCCAAGACUAACAUCUACCUACUAUGACUGUAUCUCAAAUCUGCUCAAAUUUUGGUAAGGCUGUUGGCGUUUCUGGAAAAAAAAAAAAAAGAAAUCGUACAAAGGAUAAUAACCUAGGUGAUCACUUCAUAAUGCUUGCGACUAGCCACUGAACUCUAACUGAUAAGGUCAUAAACAAAACGUCAAGAGAGCCCUAUGUCAUUAUACCACAGCCGACACAAACACAGCGCACUCUGCCCAUGGCCAAAGAACAGAAGGACGACUAAAACGCAAGCCGAUGUGUUGCAGCAUCGUAGGGCCACUAAAUGCCAUCCGUGAACUCGUGGCGAUUUACAAGAACAUAACCCAAAAAGGUGACUCAGGUGGGUUAAACAGAGCUCGGAAAAGUUCGAAGAGAGGAUGAGAGGCGGGAGGUCCUACAAGAAAAAGCAAUCAAAGAAAAGAGCAACUCCGACCGAAAAAUGCAAAGGCGAGAACCCUGCUCAUUAUUACACAUGAUGAGAAGCAUGGACAGCACUGGAGAGUAACACACUGUACUUUGCAUCCAGGUCCAGUACCGAGCUGCCCGGGGCAGUUGGGUAGCGGAUCGGAGGUGGGAUCGCCUCGUCUUACCUCGACCCUUGCGGCACCGGCUCCGGUUCAGGCUCCGGCCCCGGGGAGCGCCGGGGGCCGCCCCCGCUCACUUCCCCACUCUUUCCAAACGGGUCCUGUCUCUGCUUUGGCUUUGUUCUGCAACUCUGCCCAGACAGCCAGAAGAGCAGUGCACGGGGCUUAGUACUUACUACCCUUGCUGCUGGUUCGGGAUUUUGGGGUUGGGGUUUUGAGUUUGGCUAUUUUUGGUUUUGUUUUGAAAUUUUUUUUUUGUUAUUAUUAUUUUAUUAUUUUAGUUUUAGGUUUUUAAACUAUUUCUCCCUCCAAUAGGCAACAGAGAUGCACAAUUUGGAUCGAGCUGUUAUUUUCACAAGAUAAGUAUCCUCUAAGCUCAUUGUUUGAGGAUACACUAAUAGAGAUACAACUGGAAUCAAAGAAAGCAGGAGAGAAAAAAAAAAUAAUCGAAAUCUAGAAGAAAGGGGACGCUGCCCCUUCAGAGAGGCUAGUGGCAAAGGAGCCUGCCUUGAGACUCACCAGGGGAAGAAUCUGCUUCGCCAAUUCUCCCAAAUCAAUUUCCUCAUAAUCCCCCUGGGAGCAGGUCAUCCUUCUCUAUGUACAGUAGCAAAUGGUGAAAAUUAAUGUCUUCGACCCUGUCUCGGAUAAAAAUACUAUCCUUUUAA
Molecule: long non-coding RNA, 1621 nt
Organism: Passer domesticus (house sparrow)
Lineage: Eukaryota; Metazoa; Chordata; Aves; Passeriformes; Passeridae
Exons: 2
Source: RefSeq, a predicted model, not a curated record